Ahaetulla prasina is the source of this 2958-nucleotide RNA transcript. RefSeq lists it as uncharacterized. The transcript has 2 exons. The record is from RefSeq and is a predicted model, not a curated record. NCBI's taxonomy places the organism in Eukaryota, Metazoa, Chordata, Lepidosauria, Squamata, Colubridae.
AGGAAGAUAUACUGGGAAAUUUAGAAAAGGAAGAAAACAGAAAGGAAGCUAACAAAUUAAGGAAUGGGGUGAAGAAAAAAGUUUUUUCAAGGAAAGGGAAGGAAGGAAGGAAAGGAAGGAAGGAAGGAAGGAAGGAAGGAGAGAGAAGGAAACUUUCUUUCUAGGGAAGGGCCUCUGGUGGCUCAACAGACUAAUGCAGUCUGUUAUUAACAGCAGCUGCUUGCAAUUACUGCAGGUUCAAGUCCCACCAGGCCCAAGGUUGACGCAGCCUUCCAUCCUUUAUAAGGUAGGUAAAAUGAGGACCCAGAUUGUUGGGGGCAAUAAGUUGACUUUGUAUAUAAUAUACAAAUGGAUGAAGACACUUGCUUGACAUAGUGUAAGCUGCCCUGAGUCUUCGGAGAAGGGCGGGAAUAAAUGCAAAAAAAAAAAACCUAAGGAAGGAAGCUAUACUUGGAAAUUUAGAAAAGGAAGAAAAUAGAGAGGAAGCUAUCAAGUUUAGGAAUGGGGUGAAGGAAAAAGUUUUUUGAAGGAAGGAAGGAAGGGAAGGGAAGGGAGGAAGGAAAAAACAAAAGAAAGCCAAAUCACACUGGAAAAGCUGUUGCAGAGAAAGAAGACACAAUGUCUCAAACAAUGUCAUUUUUAUUACACAAACAGCGCUCUCUUGUGGAAACCUUAAAUGCAGCCUUAGAAUGUCUCUGAAACAAUUUAAAAUACUGUAGAUCAUUGCCCCACCCCACCGCUUUGCGUACCAGGGACUGGUAAAUAACAAUCCAGAGUGGACCCAUUGUUUGGCUUAAUAACGGUAGCAGUUGCUUGAGAAUGGCUGCAAACUGAGGUUGUAGAAUUGGGUUGAUCUUGUGGGUGACCAGAUUUAUGACGGUCAUGAAUUACGACUGUGAUGGGCAGAGUCCGUUGCGGUCAUAACUCGAGGAGUACCUGUAUAGCUCUGCUUCUGCCAUCAGCUGAAUUCUGGACUUGGCACAAAAUAUGAAACUGGCAAGCACAUUUUUCAUUCUGGUUAGCUUGGCAUACUUAAGGGAUAAAAAUCACCCUUAUAUUCAUUCUGCCUUUUUAUAGUAUUAAGAAAUCAAGAGGAACCAGAUUUUUCAAACUUCCAUCUUCGGCAUCAAAAGAAAAGACCAGGGAUGCCAAGAUCUCAUAAAUUCUUCAUUUCGUUCUACUAGUAGAAUCCAUCCCAUAUCAUCUACUUGGAAUUCUGAAUCAAUGGGCCUUUAUACCGAACCAAAUAAAAUAUGAUGCAAGUUACUACAGAGAGGUUCAACUAUUGGGCAGAUUAAAACUGCCUAUCAAGAAAUACUGUGAUAUUUAUUAAAUAUCUGUGUUAUUGAUUUAUUAAACAGUAUUUAUCACAUUUAUUAAACACGUCGAUAUUUAUUAAAAUAAAUACUAGCUAAUUUUGGCACCGCAGCCUGAAUGCUUUAUUACAAACCUGUUACAAGAUGUAUCUUAUCAAAGAGCAGGUACUGAUUCAGACUGCAGACAGGUUUUUACGUUCUUAAGCGCAUUAUGGAAAACUCCUUGGAGUUAUGGAAAACUCCCAGCGCAUUAUGGAAAACUCCCUGCCUGCAGAAAGCUAACCCAUCAGUGAUAAACUCGUGCCAAACUUUUCUCUGUGACUAUUUAAGUAAAAAGUGGGUUUUUUAAACAAACAAACAAACAAACACAAACCGGCCUUUUCUCCUAGAAUUAAUCCUGGAUGUUGUUUUUUUUACAUACAUGCUCAUGAUGGAUUGCUCAUGAUGGAUGGAGCCAGUUUCCCAACAGAAAUGUUUUAGCGAGCAGACAGACUUAAACGCAGCUAUGUUGCAGAGACACAAAUACAGUGAUACUCCGGUCCUGUUCCCUGAAGUUGGGACGAAAAGUGAGAAAGAGAAGGCUGUGCGUGCAAAAGAGAGAGCGAACAGAAGAUGGUCACAAUGUCCCAUGACCAGGGGUGGGAUUCUACGGGUUCGGGCAAACCGGUAGUUCCGACGAUCAGCUGGGAGCGAACCGGUUUGCCCCGGCGAUCAGAUGGGGCCAGGCGCCGGCCCUAUUGUCAUACCUUUAUCUUCUCAGCUGAUUUGCGUGGCAGAGCAGAUUGCCGCACCUCAGCUGUGUUUUGCCUCCGAAGAAACGCAGAAGUGACAAUUUCUUCAAACUGCGCAUGCAUGCGCAAAAUCACCGAACCGGUUGUUAAACUGAGAGGAUCCCACCACUGCCCAUGACACACGCAUUUUGGCCCUUUGAGCAAUUGUUUGCACAGAUUUAAUGGAUUACAGAUCUGAGCGUAUUAUGGGUGGCAAUUAUACCAAUCUAAGACAAAGGUUUGAAACAAUGGACAACGUACGCUAAAAUGUGCUAAAAUGUUUGUAGUCAAAGAUGAAACAACAAGAAUUGUGAAAGAAAAGCAGCCCAUAGGUCCUGAGAUGCCUCUUAUUAAUUUUAGGGAACAGUUCCUAUGCUGUGUUUUAUUUAUCACGUCCCAUUUUUUGUUAAGAUACUGCCUUUCAAACUUAAUUUAUUGGAAACUAAAGAUGUUUUCUAAAAAUAACUUUGAAUCUGCUAAAAAAUGCAGCUUUCCACUUGUAAGUUUCCACCAGCUGGGCCUGUCUGGUUUAGAACUGACACCCUUGAGAAUUCAAAAUAAGAUUUAAAAUUGCAAGGGGCAGGAGAAGGAGGAGGAGGAAUGGUUUAUGGAAAAAACGAUAGAUUCUAUUAUCAUCCCAUUACCCAAAUAUUACCCAGAAUCCACUUUACGAACAACUUAGGUGAUUUUUAAAUGCUGGGUUGAACCGUGAGAUGGAAAGGGAGCUACUGUCAGGCCCAAAGAACCAAGAACGCCACGAGGAGUUACUUUUAAGGCCUGUCGAUUCUUUAUUGUUGUUUGCCUAUGGACAGAAUCUUGCCAGAUUAAAGCAACUAUCUAGAUCAGGGGUCUCCAACCUUGGCAACUUUCUG